This 348-nucleotide ribosomal RNA is filed under the name Triticum aestivum (bread wheat). RNAcentral describes it as "partial small subunit ribosomal RNA". The record is from RNAcentral. Lineage: Eukaryota; Viridiplantae; Streptophyta; Magnoliopsida; Poales; Poaceae.
AUGCACGCUUACAAACAAUAUUCUCAAAUGACCUGGCCACAUUGUAACGACAAGCACCCAAUCCUUUUUUACAUAAAAGAUGCACUAACUAGUGGCGGACUUACAUUUCUCCACCACACAUUCCCUUGGUAUCUUCUCUCACCUUAUCCACACAGUGCUGAUGCGUUAUCUUCUCCGUGCUUUUCUUCUUCGCUGCACUCUCAGACAAGCAACAUCUUGAUUCAGAAACCAACCGCAAUGGUGGCCAUUUUUCUGGAUAAGCCUCCCUGUACUCUUCAUUUUCGCAGCUGGACUGGCGCAUCAGCAGAAGCUGACCUGCAAUGGUGGCCAAUUUUCUGGCGGGAGUAA